RNAcentral lists this non-coding RNA (26 nucleotides) under Mus musculus (house mouse). Lineage: Eukaryota; Metazoa; Chordata; Mammalia; Rodentia; Muridae. The record is from RNAcentral.
CAUUAGGAAUAAGUAGUUUAGUGUCU